Molecule: ribosomal RNA, 253 nt
Filed under: uncultured bacterium
Lineage: Bacteria
Description: partial 16S ribosomal RNA
Rfam family: Bacterial small subunit ribosomal RNA
Source: RNAcentral
UACGGGGGGUGCAAACGUUGCUCGGAAUCAUUGGGCGUAAAGCGCACGUAGGCGGUUCGUUAUGUCGGAUGUGAAAGCCCUUGGCUUAACCGAGGAAGUGCAUCCGAAACUGGCGAGCUAGAGUACGAAAGAGGAUCGCGGAAUUCCCGGUGUAGAGGUGAAAUUCGUAGAUAUCGGGAGGAACACCGGUGGCGAAGGCGGCGAUCUGGGUCGAUACUGACGCUGAGGAGCGAAAGCGUGGGGAGCGAACAGG